This 293-nucleotide signal recognition particle RNA is filed under the name Callithrix jacchus (white-tufted-ear marmoset). RNAcentral's name for it is "Metazoan signal recognition particle RNA (ENSCJAG00000047309.3)". It matches the Rfam family "Metazoan signal recognition particle RNA". From Rfam's summary of the family: The signal recognition particle (SRP) is a universally conserved ribonucleoprotein. It is involved in the co-translational targeting of proteins to membranes. Lineage: Eukaryota; Metazoa; Chordata; Mammalia; Primates; Cebidae. The record is from Rfam by way of RNAcentral.
GCCGGGAACGGUGGCACAUGCCAGUAGUCCCAGCUACUCCGGAGGCUGAGGUGGAUCGCUUGAACCCGGUUCUGGACUGUGGUGCGCUAGGCCAAUGGGGUGUCUGCACUAAGUUCAGCAUCAAUAUGGUGACCUCCCGGGAGCGGGGGACCACUAGGUUGCCUAAAGAGGGGUGAACCGGCCCAGGUCAGAAAUGGCACAGGUCAAAACUCCCGUGCUGAUCAGUAGUGGGAUCGCACCUGUGAAUAGCCACUGCACACCAGCCUGGGCAACAUAGCAAGACCUCGUCUCUA